UAUUUUUUUAAUAAGAGAUCUCUUAAAUCAUUAGGGUAAGGGAUGAGCUACGAGAUAAGAAAAACACACUUUUAUACACUACAUGACAAAAUACAUUAAAUGAGAAUAUAUGUUUUACUUGUUUUUUAGUUUGUUGAUUACUUUAAUAACUAGAUCGCUUAUUAAAUAACAACUCUAUAUAUCUAUGUAGUUAUUCUCUAAUGAGAACAUUCUCGUUGUGUUUUUUCUUUUAGUGUAUCUGUUAAUAACAUUCAUAUUUUGUUAAAUAUAAAGAUGUUUUGAUAAGGAGAAAAAAAAUUCUCUCUCUCUCUUUCUCUCUCUGUCUCUCUCUCUCUCUAUAUGUAAAUGUGCAUACGUAUGUAUGUAUGUAUUGUUGGGAUUAUAUGCUCUUUUGAAGCAUAUUAAUUUAUUUUCUGAUUAAUAAAAUAUUUGAGAUAUUUUCAAUUGCAUAAAUAUAUAUUGAAUAAGGCCCGUUUAAUCAUAUUAUUUGUAUUUAUGUGAUCAUCAUAUGCAUUCACAGAAGACAUAAAUACAAGUUAUCUUAUAAUUAAAUAAAUAUUAGUUCGCAGUUGAUAAAUAGUGUUUGGCACUCUAUUUAUGUUUACACUACAGUAAAUUCAUUGAAUGAUUUGCCUUAAUCAUAUAUGAAUUUACUGAUGUAGUUUGACUACAUUGAACUGGAUCACAUAUGAGAUUUAAUUAACCUUGAAAUGACUGUCAGACUUAUUAAAUCUCAUAGGUAUUGAUUUUACUGUAAUCUUAAUCUUAAGUUAGUUAUGAUUUCAUGAUUGUAAUUGUUAUUCCAUUUGAGUUACCAAUGGGCACGACACACACUUGUGGUCAAGAUUACCCGGUAUUUUGGUGGGAGCAAUUAUGAGUAUUGAAGUUAAAAAUUAACAAUAUAGAAUUUCUACAACACAUCUCUUGAUGGGUUUUCGGCACUUGAUCAUAGAAUUCUUUGGCCAGAGUGUGUCAACAUAUUUAAUAUGUUGAAAAUGAUCAUUAGAGAAAACCAGUAAGUAUUAAGGAAUAAGAUGUAAUUAAAUCGAUUGGACAGUUGAGAUAUCAAUUUAAGAUUAUGCAGUAAAGAAAUCAAUGUGGCAUGGGUUGAAUUAUUAUUCGAGUAUACUAUCUUAGAUAACAUACAAUUAUGGAGGUCAAUUCCAAUCUUUUAGUGGAGUAGAUUUGGAAUUAAAUAAUUGGACUAAUUUAAUUACAUGCCUAAUUAUUGUAGCUACUAUUAUAUGUCCCCAAAUGAUCUAGGGGUUAGCUCAUUUAAUUGACUACACCAUUACUGGAUUAAUAAAUAAGAUAACUAGUUAUUUAGGUUAAAAGACUAAAUAUAUUAUUUAGUGAGAGGCUCCAUUAAUAUACUUGAGUGUAAGGGACCUUGUGUUAUUUUACAAGGUGGGCUCCUAUAACACAAGAACAAGUAAUGUGACUUUUGUUUUAAUUAUUUUUUAAUUUAAAUCAAAUGGGAUUUAAUAGAAUUAAUAAAUAAAUAAAUAAAUAUGGAGCCUAGGGUUUCCACUAAAAGGGAGAUAUAAAAAGGCUUAUUUUCUCUAAAGAAAAAUAUAGCAGCCACUUUAUAUAGAUAAGAGAAAAAGAAUUUUUCUUUCUAAUUUUGAGAGAAAAUUUUUUCUCUUACUAGUUGCUUUUAGUGGUGAUAAAGGCGCCCACAUGUCAAGUGCAGAUCAAAUCUGAGUCAUAACCUAAAAGAUUAUUUGGUGACAGAUCGUGAUCUGAGAGCCUAAAUCACUUUAGCGAAAAAAGCAAAGAUUGUUCAUCUUCUCAGAUUUUCAAGGUACGAUUUCUAGAUUAUGAAUUCUUAUAUAUUAUAUGAGAUUGAUUCUAAAAGUUAAAAAAAAAACUGAUUUCUCUCAUACAAUUGGUAUCAGAGCCAUCUCAUAUUAAUAUGGGAAAUUAUCAUUUGUAUACCCUUAGUUUACUCCAUUAUCAAAACUACUACAACACUUUGAGGGUGUAUCAAUCGUCCACCCUAAGUUGACAAAAUGUAUCAGUUGACCACCAAACCGGUAGUUGCCGUUUAAGUAUGAUGACGUCAGAAGGGUAAUUUGGUCUUUUCAUAUGAUACAAGUGAUAAUUUAAGGGUAUACAAGUGAUAAAAAGAGAAUUUAAGGGUAUACAAGUGAUAAUUUUCAAGGGUAAAAUCGUCAAUUCACUGUAAUUCCGUUAACUUUCAAACGUCAACUAACGGUUUGGUGGUCGGCGGAUACAUUUUGUCAACUAAGGGUGGACGAUUGAUACACCCUCAAAGUGUUGUAGUAUUUUUGAUAACAGAGCAAAUAUAAGGUAUAUGAAUGAUAAUUUCCUUAUUAAUAUAUCAUAAUUUCGUAUGAAAUUAAUCUUGAUAUUUAUGUAUUAGAGUGGCACAAUUUAUUUAGAUAUAUAUUAUUUGUUUAAUAUAUGAAUAAAGUAUGCUUAUGGUUUGUUUUAAUUCAUUGUUAGAUUUUUAAUGUAUUUUUUGUUUGGAUAUGUAACAAGAGGAGUGGUUUUGUAUCACCAUGUUUGCUUAUUGAUUUAUUUUACUGUUAUAGAAAUUUGUAAGCCAAAAAUUGGCCUAGUAAAUUUCUAAUUCAUUGGAAACUUGCGGAAACUUGUGUGAGACUACUGGAAACAUGCGUUGCAACUGCGAGAAACUUGCUGGAAACUGCUGCAAGCAACGCUGCACACGCUGCAGUAGCGCGCGCGGCCAUCGCGUGCAGCAACCAGCGCUGCCAGCAGCUGCAGUGGCAUGCAACGUGGCCAACGACGCAAGCGGAGGCUGGUCGCGUGCGCAAGAUGGCUGCUGGCGGAAGGCGGCGGCUUCCCGGUGACGCGGUGACGGUGACUCAGCGUCGGCGAUGGUGGCUGUCCGGUGUGGAAACCAUGAACAGCGGCUAGUUUUUGUGGAGAUGGCGACCUGGGGAAGAAGGAAAAGAAAAAUAUGGAUUUUAGGGUUUCAUGAUUUUUAUCUCGGUCCCUAUGUUUCCGUAAUUUUUCUUUUGGGUAGAAAAAUUUUAAUUAUUUGCAUUUAAGUCCAAAAACAGUUUUGGGCUUAAUAAAUCAUAAUUUUACGCCUAAUUGAAGUUGAGCGUAAUGGAUUAAAAUGUAUAGAUAAAAUUGAACACUUUAAAUUUAUUUUGGUCCAAAAGUUUUAUUUUAAAAAAAAUUUAUUUAUUUUCUUUUAAAAUUAAAAUUGGACCAAUAAUAAAUUUGAAAGCCCAAUUUUCCCUAGUCCAUUAACAAAGACAAACCUAUGGAAGAUGGACAUUGACAAGAAGCCCAAUGAAGAUUAGGCUUAGGGUUAAUGCAUUAUUUCAUUUUAGGAAAACCAUGAAUUAAGAUUAUUUAAUUAUUUUUCUAUAUUCUAUGUUUUGGAUGAUAACAUGCCAUGAUAAAAUGUCAUAUAGAAUAAGUAGUGCCACUCUAUGCAUAAUGAUAUAUGUCAUUCAUUAAUUAUAAAUUUCAUUAUAUUGUUUAAAAAUUGCAUAUGCAUUAUAAUAUUGGAUAUCAUCUAGAUAAUAUUAUAGGAAGUAUGCAAUUAAUAAUAUAUAAUUAAUGUAUGUUUUAAAAAGGAAAAACCAAUUUUAAAAUAUUGAGUGGGAGAGGAAAAAUUCAAGAUAAUUUUUCCACGAGCUCCAUUGUUAGUUCAAUAAUAAAAUUAUAUUUAUACAUCGACUUCAUGAUACGGUGAUGCUCCAUUCGGAGGGUAUAUAUAUUAGAUAUUUUAUUUAAUGAAGUCCUUCAAAGAUAAAAUUGAAACAUUUUUCAAUCGAUUGUUCACCCCCAACGGUGACUAUUGAUAUGAAAAAUACGUAGAUUGAAACAAUAGUUAUACACUCAACUAAAAUUUGUUAUUAACCUUCCCAACGAAGCUCUGUUAACAAAUUUAAGCCCAAAAGGAUAACGAUAAUUAUUUAUCAUGUCCCUACAUGAAAGUAAAUAAUCCAAUGGAUAAUUGGGUCUAGUAAGUGUAGACAUGACUUCCCCAACGAAUAGCUUGUCAAAACGGUACUAGAUUAUCGUUACAAUAAAUUAAAAUGCAUUUAUGAUUUUUUGCAUUUUUGUUAUUUAUUGUAAUAUUGUUUCAAAGUGUUUAUGCAUGUCUAUUUUGUUUUUUCAGAAAAUGUCUUCCAUCAACAAAUUAUCCUUGUUAAAAAUGAACUCACUGGCGAAAAUUACUUAGAUUAGAAAUGCAAUCUAUUUAAUAUUCUCAUUGUUAAGGGCUGCAAAUAUGUGUUGAUCUAGCCUUGCCACCUAGAACCAUCAUUGUACGAUUAUAGAAAUCAGAGGGAGCCUUAUGAGAAAUGGUGCGAAGCUAACAAAAUGGCUAAGCACUAUAUAUUGGCUUCGAUUUCUAUGGAACUGCAUAAGAAACAUCGGAGCAUGGAAACAACCACUGAAAUAAUGGCUAGUCUUCAUAAGAUGUUUGGGCAAAAUACUCAUUUUGCCAGAGAAGCAACGUUAAAACGUAUUACGGAUACUAAGAUGGAAGAGGGCACAAGAGUUCGUGAUCAUGUCCUUAAAAUGAUGGACUAUUUGAAUGAAAUAGAGAUUCACGGUGUUCAAAUCGAUGAUAAAACAAAAAUUAACAUGGUGAUUGAAUCUUUACCUGAUACAUUCAAAGAGUUUAAGGUCAAUUAUAUCUUAAACAAUAAAGAUAUGACCUUAAUUGAAUUAAUGCACGAACUAUAUGCUAUAGAAGAAUUUUAUCAUACAGAAAACUUCCUGAAAAAUUAUUCUCUUCAAGGCUUAAGUCGAAAGACAGGAAUAAGCAAGAAAGAGUUGGGAUCGGCAAAUUGUCCACUAAAAGAAGUGGCAAGCCAAAAGACAAAUGUUACAAAUGUGGACAGAAGAGUCACUGGAAGAAAGAUUGUCCUAAGAUUAUUAAAAUCAGGUAUAGGAAAUCUUUAAGCUUCCUAAUUAGUUCAGAUUUCUAUUGAUUCAUGCAAUAGUAAAUUAUAAGAUAACUAAUCUUAUUUGUAAUUCAUUUAUUUAGUUUUCAGGAAACCAAGAGAUGAAGUGAAGAAAGCUUCAAACAACAGUUGAGGACAUGCUAGUUUAUAUCAAUUGAAAGGCUAGAUCAAUUUUACAAGAUUUUAGUUUUGAUAUUUAUCUUUAUUUUUUCAAAUAUUAGAGGAAUUUAAUUUCGGUGGCUUAUUUUAAUAAACAGGAGUACACUGUUAUUUUUGGAUCCUCUGUUUAUUACUUAUUUUGGUUAUUUAUAAAGACAAUUUAUAUCAUAUAAGUCCAUUGAUAUAUUCAAAGCAAGAUAUAAUGAUAAAGAGUAUAUGCAUUUAUCUAUAAAAAAGAAAUGUUUCUUCUAACCAAUAUCACCUCUGAUAUUUAUGCUUAAGUCAUAUAAACUAUAAUAAGAUUUUAAGAAAAUGAUUAAUGAUAGGCUUAUUGGCCUAUUAAGAUUGAUCAUUGUAACUCUAUAACUCUUAUUUAGAAAAGUAAUAUGACGAGAAUGCUUUUUUUAAACUAAAAGCAUAACAUUGUAUUGGAUGAUUUAGCGCAUACAAAUGUAUACGGACUAAUUAGUUUACAUGUUAAAAGAGGUUAUGAGUAUUCUAUCAAUCUUGUUGAUGAAUAUUCAUUUCAUUUAUGUUUGUCUAAAUGCAUCAUGAUUCCAUCGCUUUUGAAAUUCAAAAGGGUACAUGGAUAAGACAGAGAAGCAAUUAGAUAGGAACAUAAAAGAAUUUCGAUAUGAUCGAAACAAAGAAUAUGUCUCUGGAGAAUUCAAGCUCUAUUUGGUUGUCAAAUGGGAUAAACUCCCAAAUAUAAUGAGCAUUAUGAUACAAUAGUGUAAUUAAAUGGAGAAACAAGAUUCUUUUGGAUAAGACAAGAUAUAUACUAAAUGGUUUAUCAUUUACCUUUUCUAUUCCAGAUAAUAGUAUUUAAAAUUGUAAAGUUUAUUGAAAUUAGUUUCAUCUACCUCGGUGUCUACUACUACAAAAAAUUAUGAAAAAUCACAAACAUAGUUUGAGACACAUUCGUAUUUGGAGUUUACUAGUAUUUGUUAGCCUAUAUGGCUAUAAAUAUUGAUUUUGAUGACAACAAACCACAUGUAUUUAUUAAGUAAAGAUUUAUGAAUUGUGCUUUUAUAAUAAGAAAAUGAUGUUAUGGAAUUAAAGCAUUUUGGACUAAAAUGAAAGUAAUUUUAAAAUCUUUGAUAAUAUUUUAAAUUUCGGAUUUGGACCUAUUUGAAACUAUUUAAAUCUUUUUGGGUCAUUCUAUAAUAUCACAAAAUUUGGGCGAAAUCAUAAUUUCAGAAAGUUUUGGGAUUAACGAAGCAUUACUUAGAAAUUCUGAAAUUGGACCUAUUUGCAAAGUUUCAUAAUGUUUUGGGUCAUACUACAGUUUUAUAAAGUUUUGGGGUCAAACUAAAAAUUUAGGAAAAUUUCACUGUAGUAGGUUACUGUAGCAAGCGGCUUACUGGAUAUAAAAACUGAAAAAUCGGAUACGGGGCAGUAAGCAUCCAGAACGCAAACGGCUUACCGGAUUUCGUAACUGGCAAGCCGGAUAGGCAAAAUUCAAAUUUUUGCCUUAACGGUAACAUAAAUUCAGCUUACCGGAUUCCAUAAACGGCAAACCGGAUACGCCCAGAAUGUGAGUAACGGCUAGUUUUUGAGCUCAAACUAUAAGAACUCAAAUCCAACUCAUUUUGAGUCUCUAAAACAAGCCAAAACAAAAAGUACACGUGAUAUCUUGAGCCUUCAAACUUGCGAAAUACAAACAUUGAAUCUUUUCUUGUUCUUCAUUUUUUAAUAUUUACUCAUUGAGUGAGUUUCAUUGUAACCUUCAUUUAUUCAUCUCAAUUGUAAGAGUUUAAGUGUGUGAGACACUUGAGUGAAGAGAUUAAGAGAUAAUCUCUUUGUUGUAAAGGCUUAUUGACACCUCGAAGUCAAUUGUAAUUGUUGAAGCCUUGGAAAGGCUUGGAUAGUGAAAUCCUCAAGCUUGGAUCGCUUGGAGGCGUGGACGUAGGCAGGGAUUGCCGAACCACGUAAAAAUUCGUGUGUUUGUUUCUCUUCUCCCUUACUCUUUAAUUAUUGUGCUUUUCUUGAACUUAUUGCUUUCAAUUUUUAUUAAGACAUUAGAUUGCUUGUUGUGUGGAUUUGCUAGGAUAAUUUUUAAAUUUCCAAUUCACCCCCUCUUGGGUUGCACACUUAUAUUUCAUUUGGUAUUAGAGCAAAGUGCUCUUAUUUAAGACUUAACUGUCUAGAGCUAAAGAUCAAUGGCAACUCAAAAUGAUUCCACAUUUAGGGAAGGACAGUCCACCACUAGACCACCUUACUUUGAUGGAAACGAUUACCCAUAUUGGAAAACUAGGAUGAGAAUUUACUUGCAAGCCUUAGAUUAUGAAAUUUGGGAAAUUGUUAAUGAUGGUCCUUUCAUGCCUUUGACUAAAAAUGAAACCGGAGAAGAUAUUCCAAAACCUUCACGGGAUUGGAAUGAAUUCGAAAAAAGAAAAGCUUAUCUAAAUUCCAAGGCCAUGAAUGUCUUGUUUUGUGCUUUAGAUAAAAAAGAGUUUCAUAGAGUGUCUCGCUGCGAAAGUGCUAAUGAGAUUUGGCACAAACUUGAAGUUGUCUAUGAAGGCACAAACCAAGUGAAAGAAUCUAAAAUAAGUAGGUACACUCGACAAUAUGAAUUGUUCCAAAUGGAACAAAAUAAAAAUGUGUACUCUAUGUAUACUAGAUUUACAGACAUAGUGAACACUCUAGGAGCCCUAGAGUAGACUUUUUCAAACAGCGAAAAAGUUAAGAAAAUCAUUAGGUCACUACCUAAAGAAUGGAGACCAAAAAGGACUUCCAUUGAGGAAGCUAAGGAUUUAAAUGUAUUAUCUAUUGAUGAUUUAAUUGGUUCUCUCAUUUCAUAUGAAGAAGAUUUGGCAGCUGAAAAAGGGCAUGAGGAAAAGAAGAAAAACAUUGCUCUCAAGGUUUUAAAACGUGAGAGUGAUGAGGAAAGCGAAAUGGAUGAUGAGGAGUUGGCUAUGUUGGCUAGAAGAUUCAGAAAAUUUUACAAGAAGAAUAAUGAGCAGAGAAAGUUCAGAGGCUACAAGAAUAAGAAGGACAAGAAUGAGCCAAUCACUUGCUAUGAAUGCAAGAAGCCCAGACACAUACGACCGGAAUGUCCUCUUCUCAACAAACUCAAGAAGAAAGCUAUGGUGGCCACAUGGGAUGAUAGCGAUGAGGAAACAAAUGAUGAGGAUGACCAACAAGAAAUGACAAUCUUAGCUCUCAUGGUCGUUGAGGAAGAAUCAUGUGAUGAACUUGAUGAGGUAAGUGUUCUUCCUACAUAUGAUGAAUUACAUGAUGCUUUUAAGGAUUUGCAUGAUGAGCUAAUGAAGAUUGGUAAAAAGAAUAUAUGUCUUAAAAAGAAGAUGAUAGAGCUUAAGAAUGAAAAUAAUUCAUUUAGUGCAAAGAUUAUAUGCCUAGAAUUAGAAAAUAAAACAUUGCAUGAGAGUAUUGCAUUAUUUGAGAAUUCUAGCACUUCACAUGAGCACUUAGAGUCACACAUGAAUGACUUGAAAAAUGAGAAUGAAAUGCUUAAAAAGAAGAGCAAUGAACUAAAUGAAAUUGUGCUAAAAUUCACAAAUGGGCAAAAGAUGUUGGACAAUUUGCUAAACUUACAAAAAUAUGUAUUUGACAAAAGUGGCAUAGGUUAUAAACCGAAUUUGAAACAAAAAUUUUACAAGAGUUAUUUUGUGAAGAAUACAUCUAUUAACAAUCAAAUUGUAUGUCAUUAUUGCAAUCAAGAUGGUCAUAUGAAAAAUAGAUGUGUGGUGAAGAGAAAUGCAUAUUAUGGUGUGAAAUGUGUUUGGGUUCCGAAAGGAACCAUUGCUAACUCUCAAGGACCCAAAAAGGUUUGGGUACCUAAAACUUGACAUUUUCUCUACAGGGCUUGAAGAAGAAGAAUAAUAAGUGGUACUUGGACAGCGGUUGUUCAAGACACAUGACAGGGAAUUAUUCUUGGUUUUCAAGUUUCACUAAGAUCAAAAAUGGUGGAGAUGUAUCGUUUAGAGAUAAUUCAAAAGGAAAAAUCAUUGGGACUGGAAAUGUCGGUAAUGUAUCCUCUACUCUCAUUGAAAAUGUGUGUUUGGUUGAAAACUUAAAACACAAUUUGCUUAGUAUUAGUCAAUUAUGCGAUAAAGGAUAUAGAGUUAUCUUUGAUGAAUCAAAAUGUGUUAUUGAGAAUGCAUGUGAUGGGAAAGUCUUGUUUAUAGGAAAUAGAUGUGUUAAUGUCUAUACCAUUAAUAUAGAUUGUGCAUCAAUACAUGAUAAAUGUCUCUCUACAUUGCAUGAUGAUGGCUGGUUGUGGCAUAGAAGAUUAGGUCAUGCAAGCAUGGAUUUGAUUUCAAAAAUCGUGAAAAAUGAUUUAGUUAAAGGUCUUCCAAAAAUCAGUUUUCAAAAAGAUAGAAUUUGUGAAGCAUGCCAAUUUGGAAAACAAAUCAAAACUUCCUUCAAAAACAAGAAUCAUGUCUCUACUUCAAAACCACUUCAAUUGCUUCAUAUAGAUUUAUUUGGACCUUUUAGAUAUGCUAGUUUAAUUGGACUUUAGAUAUGCUAGUUUAAUUGUGGAUGAUUAUUCUAGAUACACAUGGAUAUUGUUCUUAGCUAAUAAGGAUGAUGUCAUUGAUGUAUUUCGAAUUUUCUAUAAAAAGGUUCAAAAUGAAAAAGGUUAUUCUAUUACUUGUAUUGGAAGUGAUCAUGGUGGAGAAUUUGAAAAUCAUGCAUUUGAAAAUUUUUGUAAUGACCUUAGCAUUGAACAUCAAUUUUCAUCACCUAGGAGUCCAUAAUAAAAUGGAGUAGUAGAGAGAAAGAAUAGGUCUAUUCAAGAAAUGCCUAGGACCAUGUUGAAUGAAAACUCAUUGCCUAAGUAUUUUUGGGCCGAAGCCGUCAACACCGCUUGUUAUGUUUUAAAUCGGGUGUUGAUUAGACCUAAUCUUAAUAAAACUCCAUAUGACCUUUGAAAAGAUAGAAAACCCAACAUUGGCUAUUUUAAAGUUUUUGGAUGCAAAUGUUUUGUUUUGAACACAAAAGAUAAUCUUGGUAAAUUUGAUCCAAAAUCUGAUGUUGGCAUUUUUCUUGGUUAUUCAAAUUCAAGCAAAGCUUAUAGAGUUUAUAAUAAAAGAACUUUAGUUGUGGAAGAAUCUAUGCAUGUUACAUUUGAUGAGUCUAACCCCUCCUCUACGGAGAAAGUUGUUGUUGAUGAUAAUGCAAAAGAAGAACAACAAGAAGAAGCAUCGAAUGACAACCAAGAAGACGCGCCACAUGGAAUUCAAGAAGAACAUCAUGAAGAAACAAAUGCAGAGCAAAAUGAAGGUACUUCACAAACAGUCCCCAAGGAGUGGAGGUAUGUAUCCUCUCACCCUAAGGAUAUAAUUUUAGGAGAUCCCUCACGAGUAGAGCUGGCAAAACGGGUCAUCGGAUCGUGUUCGUGUCGUGUCAGCUUCGUGUCGUGUCAAAUUUAAGUCGACCCAAAUCCGACCCAUUUAAUAAUCGUGUCAAAAUAUUGAGACCCAAACCCGACACGAAAAAAUAAUCGGGUUACCCAAUAACCCGUUUAAUAUCUAUAUAUUGAACAAAAGUUACAUUAAAUAUUUACACACUAUCAUACAUACGUAUGUACAUACAUACAUAAUUUAUCGAUAUUAUAAAAUAUACAUAUCUACUAAUAUAUUACACAUUUACACUAUUGAGGUUAUAUAUAUAUAUAUAUAUAUAUAAUAUUAUAUGUCAAUAUUAUAAAAUAUACAUGUCUAUUAAUUUUUACACAUUUACACUAUUGAAGCUCUAAAUGUAUUUAAAAUUUUAUAAAUAAAACACUGUGUUUAUAUUCACCCUUUUAAAGAAUUAAAAAAAACCAUCUCUAAUAUUUGAGUUUUAAUAAUAAGAAUAUGUAAAUUAUUUUAAAAUAGAAAAUAUAAUCGGGUCAUUGAUCGGGUAAAUGGGUCAAGAAUUUUAACCCUAACCCGGCACGGAAAAAAAUCGUGUUGACCUGGACCCGACCCAUUUAAUAAUCGUGUUAAAUUUGACAACCCAUACCCAUUUAUUUAUGUCGUGUUCGUGUCGGGUAAUCGGAUCGUGUCAAAUUUUGCCAGCUCUACUCACGAGGUGUUACCACUAGAUCAUCCCUUAGGAACACAUGUGAGCAUGCUGUAUUUAUUUCUCAAAUUGAACCAAAAUCCUUUGCGGAUGCGGAAAACGAUGAAUCUUGGAUUAUGGCAAUGCAAGAGAAGUUGAAUCAAUUUGAGAGAAACAAUGUGUGGUAGUUAGUUCCUAAUCCAGAACAUCAAUCCAUUAUAGGUACUAAAUGGGUAUUUAGAAACAAAAUGGAUGAAUCCGGUGUGGUUGUAAGAAAUAAAGCUAGAUUAGUGGCUCAAGGUUACAACCAAGAAAAAUGAAUUGAUUUUGAUGAAACUUUUGCACAUGUAGCAAUGUUAGAAUCCAUUAGGAUGUUGUUAGCAUAUGCAUGUCCUAAGGAUUUUAUUUUAUAUCAAAUGGAUGUCAAGAGUGCUUUUUUAAAUGGAUAUAUUAUAGAGGAAGUUUAUGUGAAACAACCUCCUGGUUUUGAAAAUGAAAAAUUUCCAGAUCAUGUGUAUAAGUUAUCCAAGGCUUUGUAUGGUUUAAAACAAGCACUUAGAGCUUGGUAUGAUAAGCUUAAAAAUUUCUUGUUGGAUAACGAUUUUUCAAUGGGAAAAGUUGACACAACUCUUUUUGUUAAGCAUAAGAACCAAGACAUACUUAUUGUUCAAAUUUAUGUUGAUGAUAUUAUUUUUGGUUCUACUAAUGAGUUAUUGUGUAAAGAUUUUUCAUCAUGUAUGAGCCAAGAGUUUGAGAUGAGUAUGAUGGGAGAGUUGAAGUACUUCCUUGGACUUCAAAUCAAACAAAAUAAGGAAGGAAUUUUCACAAACCAAGCCAAGUACAUGAAAGAUCUACUCAAAAGAUUUGGCUAUGAUAAUGGAACGGCAAAAAGCACUCCUAUGAGUACUACCAUUAAGCUGGACAAAGAUAAGAAAGGUAAGGAAGUUGAUAUCAAGACAUAUCGAGGUAUGAUCGGAUCCUUACUCUACUUGACUGCUAGUAGGCCUGAUAUUAUGUUUAGUGUUUGCUUGUGUGCUAGAUUUCAAUCUUGUCCUAAAGAGUCUCACAUGCUUGCUGUCAAAUGCAUUUUUCGAUAUUUAAUUGGCAUUAUUAAUCUUGGCCUUUGGUAUCUUAGAGGAACUUAUAUUGAUUUAACUUGUUAUUCGGAUGCCGAUUUUGCUGGGUAUAAGGUUGAUAGAAAAAGUACUAGUGGAACAUGUCACUUCUUAGGCCAUUCUCUUGUCUUUUGGUUUAGUAAGAAACAAAACUCGGUUGCGCUUUCAACCACCGAGGCAGAAUAUAUUGCCGCAGGUAGUUGUUGUGCACAAAUUCUAUGGAUGAAACAAACCCUUAGAGACUAUGGUAUUAAGCUUGAUCAAAUUCCUAUCUUAUGUGACAAUACUAGUGCUAUAAAUCUUUCUAAGAAUCCUAUUCAAUAUUCUAGGACUAAGCAUAUAGAAAUUAGACAUCAUUUCCUUAGAGAUCAUGUUCAAAAAUGAGAUGUCGUAAUUAAAUUUGUUUCCACUGAAAAUCAACUUGCGGAUAUCUUUACAAAACCUCUUAGCGAAGAGCAUUUUAUAAAGAUAAGACAUGAGCUUGGAAUGAUGAAUGUUGAAUCUUAAUUCAUGUUUUACUACAUGACUUGAUAUGGUUGUUAUCAUAUGGUUUUAUGCUUCAUGAAUUAGAUAGCAUGAUAUGCUUGUAAAUUUAUGAUUUUAUGAUUUUGUGUUUCAUGCAUUAAAUGGCUUAUUGAAAAAUUUUAAAUCUCAAAAUGAUUUAAAAUUAAUCAAUUUUUUAGGCCGGAAAUAAAUUGGUGUGUGUAGUACAAGUAUAAGAGCUAGCAAAUAUUCCCUUUCCAUUCAUCCGGAAAAACAUUUUUCCUUAUUGAUUUCUCUCGGGACAAAUUCCAGAUAACCGGAUUUUCAAUCCGCAAAACUGGAUUGGCUUUGAUUGCUCUUGGGACAACAUUCGGAUAACCGGAUUUGCUAAGCUUCAUCUCUGCCUCAUAACCGGUCUACCGGUUCUUCAAUCCGGAAAACCGAAUUUGGAAGGGAACUCACUGCCUCACAACCGGUCUACCAGUUAUCAAAACCGGAAAGCCGAAUUCGAGUGCAUGCUUGCUGGAACAAAACUAGAUUUCCAGUUCAAGACAAUCCAGAAAGUCAGAUUUUUGGAAGCUCUCGAAACCGGCCAGUCGGUUAAGAAAACCGGCAUCCGGAUUUCAAAUCUGGCAGACCGUUUUCGCUUGUUUGGUUUCUGUCCAAUAACCGGCUUACCGAUUAGGAAACCCGGCAAGCCGGAUUCGUGAGCCUUUUGUGCUGUUCAUCCUCUUCCUCAUGCAUUCGGCAAUCCGGUUCUUCCUCUCUCUAAAAACCGUUUGCUUCUCUCUCAUUUUUCACUCCAAAAUCCACCAUUUCUACUCGGUUUUGAUGCAAAUCAAUCCAUAAAUAUUGACCCCCAUCCGUUCUUAUAACUAAAAUCACACUCAAAACUCAUUUUCAACCUCCAAAUCCCUAGAUCCGAAUUUCAACCUAGGUUUUGGGCCGAUUUUUUCUCUCUCUAGAUUUCUCACUCUCAAGCAGUUUUUUAUCCAAUUUGUUUCUCCAAAUCACUUUCAAUCUUCAUCAUCUUCAUUCUCUUUGGUGUUUUUAUCUUCAAAUCCAUCAAAAUCAAAAUGUCAAGCUCUCGGCCGGUUCGAAGAAAAGGCAAAGAACCGGUUCAACAAACCACCCGGCCAGGGGAAGCAAGGGGCACCUCAAAUCAAUCCACUUUUGAGUCCAUUCAUUUUCAGAACAAGCAACACUUGAUCAAAUGGUUUCAACAAAACUUUCGGACUCGUGAGGUACUCAACACUUUCUUUGUUUUACCGGAUGUUAUGCAUACUCUCAAGAUUAGUUAUAGAAAUAUUUUUCAAUUGUUGGAAGAUGUUGGUUGGCUUAAUGCACUUGUUAUUGAGGAAAAUGUAUAUCCUGACUUGGUGAAAGUAUUUUACUCGAAUAUGGAUUGUUCCACGGAGAAAGAGAAUCGAGUAAUCACCACAGUUGGAGGAGUUUUGAUUGAAUUUGAUGAUUUGGAGUUGAACUCCAUCCUAGGAUCUUCCAAUGAUGGACUGGACAUUUUUUCUCCUAGGAAACCUCCUGAUAUUGAUGACUAUGUUCAUGUUGAUGCCGUUCGUAAUAUUUAUCGGCGUAGUGAUCUUUCUAUUGAAGAUUGUACCAUUCAUUUCCGUACUCAGUGUCUUUGUCUUCAAACUCGUUUUUUGCUUCGUAUCAUCCAGUCCAUUGUACUUCCUAGAUCAAGACAUUUGGAUGAGGUUUCUCACAUGGAUGUCGCCAUGAUUGACUGUAUUCUUAGAGGUCGCCCGGUUAACUUGGGCUAUUCCAUCAUCCGCACCAUGUUGAGCAUUCAUGCCUUGAUUAUCCACUCUCUUCCUUAUGGUCACUUCAUUACCCGAAUUCUUAAAUUCUUUGAAGUGCCGAUUCUGGAACCAUCUUGUAGGCCGUCCAAGGGUAUUGGGGAUGAGGUUAUUAUUGGGUUAGGCUUUGAGUGGAAGGAUGGCACUUGGGUCAAAUACAACAAUAACAAGUUUACCUUUCUAGCCCCAAGUGAUGAUCGGCCACUUAAUGCUGUGAUUCCAGCUGAUUAGCUUCCAGUUUUCUCUCUCAUUUCGAGGGCAGCAUAGACGCCGAGUUUCUUCCACGGUUGCUUCAGCUCCUAGUGCAUCUGCAUCCGCUUCAUCACCUCCACAUCCUCCUACCUCUGAAGAGGUCACUCUUCAGCAGCUUAUGGAUGAAGUGCGGACACUCUCUGUGCGGCAGACUGAGUUUCAGCAGCAGCAGCAGCAGCUUAUUUAUGGACAGCGACUCCUCUUUGAGCACUUCGGCAUUCCAUAUCCAUUUCCACCUCCAUCCUCACCACCUGAGUAGUAUCUUAUGCUUGUAUUUGGACACACCUACAUUUCAUUUAUUGCAUUGUGUGUUCUUUUAUUUUCAACUCUAUGGAUGGUUAUUAUGAUUUUCGGUUUAUGGUUUUGUUUUUGGAUGAUAUGGAUUUGUUGUGACUAUUUAUGUUGGAUGUUUUGGAUUUGUUUUGAUUGAUCAUUAUGGAUUAUAUGGAUUUUCUUAUGCUUAUGGAUAUUUUUUUACUAAUGUGCUUAUGUUGCGAUUUUAAUGAUUGAUAGGGGGAGCUUUUAUUCUUUUUUAUGAUGAAGGGGGAGAAUGAUUUAAUAUGUGUUAUGAAAAUAUGCAUGUAUCUAUGGGGAGCAUGUAUGCAGGGGGAGUUUUUGUUAAACAAUUUUCAAAUCAUUUUUUAACUUGCAUUGAUUAAGGGGGAGCUUUUUCAUAACAAGAUUAAAGUUUUUAAUGUGUUUUGUCAUCAUCAAAAAGGGGGAGAUUGUUAGCCUAUAUGGCUAUAAAUAUUGAUUUUGAUAAUAACAAACCACAUGUAUUUAUUAAGUAAAGAUUUAUGAAUUGUGCUUUUAUAAUAAGAAAAUGAUGUUAUGGAAUUAAAGCAUUUUGGACUAAAAUGAAAGUAAUUUUAAAAUCUUUGAUAGUAUUUUAAAUUUCAGAUUUGGACCUAUUUGAAACUAUUUAAAUCUUUUUAGGUCAUUCUAUAAUUUCACAAAAUUUGGGCGAAAUCAUAAUUUCAAAAAGUUUUGGGAUUAACGAAGCAUUACUUAGGAAUUUUGAAAUUGGACCUAUUUGUAAAGUUUCAUAACGUUUUGGGUCAUACUACAGUUUUAUAAAUUUUUGGGGUCAAACUAAAAAUUUAGGAAAAAUUUCACUGUAGCAGGUUACUGUAGCAAGUGGCUUACCAGAUAUAAAAAUUGAAAAAUCGGAUACGAGGCAGUAAGCAUCCAGAACGCAAACGGCUUACCGGAUUUCGUAACUGGCAAGCCAGAUAGGCAAAAUUCAAAUUUUUGCCUUAACGGUAACAUAAAUUCGGCUUACCGGAUUCCAUAAACUGCAAAUCGGAUACGCCCAGAAUGUGAGUAACGACUAGUUUUUGAGCCCAAACUAUAAGAACUCAAAUCCAACUCAUUUUGAGUCUCUAAAACAAGCAAAAACAAAAAGUACACGUGAUAUCUUGAGCCUUCAAACUUGCGAAAUACAAACAUUGAAUCUUUUCUUGUUCUUCAUUUUUUAAUAUCUACUCAUUAAGUGAGUUUCAUUGUAACCUUCAUUUAUUCAUCUCAAUUGUAAGAGUUUGAGUGUGUGAAACACUUGAGUGAAGAGAUUAGGAGAUAAUCUCUUUGUUGUAAAGGUUUAUUGACACCUCGAAGUCAAUUGUAAUUGUUGAAGCCUUGGAAAGGCUUGGAUAGUGAAAUCCUCAAGCUUGGAUCGCUUGGAGGCGUGGACGUAGGCGGGGAUUGCCGAACCACGUAAAAAUUCGUGUGUUUGUUUCUCUUCUCCCUUACUCUUUAAUUAUUGUGCUUUUCUUGAACUUAUUGCUUUCAAUUUUUAUUAAGACAUUGGAUUGCUUGUUGUGUGGAUUUGCUAGGAUAAUUUUUAAAUUUUCAAUUCACCCCCCCUCUUGGGUUGCACACUUAUAUUUCAGUAUUUAUACUAGAAUAAGAGGUAGAGAAGAUGGAUUCGUGUUCAGAAGCUUGCAUGUUUUAGGAAUCUUAAAGGAAUAAGGGAAAGUCUGAAUUAUAGUUCUCAAGAUAGAAAUGUAUUUAUAAACAUAUUCUUUACUUUCUUUGAGGAAGACUAUAUAAAUGACUUAUAACCUAAGAAUAAGGUAAAACUAGAAAAAUAAAAAGGAGAUCAGAUUGAUGCUCAGCUUUCAACACCUGUUAUAGAACAUGAAGAAUAACAACAACCAGCUGAUCAACACAGGAUUAUCCCUUAAUAACCAUCACUUUUAGAACCUCGUCGUUGUGGGAGGGUAACUAGGUUACCAACAAGAUACAUGUUAUUAGGAGAAACCUAUACGGCUAUCUUAGAUGAACAUGUACAAGAUCCUACUAGCUACAAUGAAGCUCUAAUAGACAAAGAUGUUGAAUUUUGGAAAAAGGUCAUGAAUCAAGAAAUAGAAUCUAUGUAUUCUAAUAAAGUCUGGGAACUUGUAGAGGCACCAAAUGGAUAAAACCUAUAAGGUGCAAGUGCAUCUACAAGAGAAAAAGAGAAUUAGAUGAAAGGGUGGAAACAUUUAAAGUAAGAUUAAUAGCCAAAUGGUUUACUAAAAAAGAGGGAAUCGAUUAUGAGGAAACCUUUUGUCCGGUUGCUAUGUCUUAAAUCCAUCAGGAUUCUGUUCUCCAUUGCUGCAGUGCUAGAUUAUGAAAUUUGGCAAAUGGAUGUCAAGACUGCCUUUCUUAACGGGCAUCUUGAAGAACACAUCUACAUGUAGCAACUAGAUGGAUUCAUACAAAAAUGUCAAGAACACAUGGUAUGUAAGUUGCAGAGAUCCAUUUAUGGAUUGAAGCAAGCAUCCCAGUCAUGGAACAUCAGAUUUGAUCAAGCGAUUAAAUCAUUUGGAUUCAUUCAGAACAUUAAUGAACCAUGUGUGUACAAGAAAAUUUAGAGAAAAAUUGUAGCCUUCCUAGUUCUUUAUGUAGAUGAUAUUUUCCUGAUUGGAAACGAUAUGGGAGUCUUGACUACAAUAAAGAGUUGGUUAGCAAAAUAAUUUGAUAUGCAAGACCUGGAAAAGACAAGUUAUAUUCUUGGUAUCAAAUUACUACGAGACCAGAAGAAUAAAACUUUAGCCUUGUUUCAAGUGGUCUAUAUCGACAAGAUAUUGGCUAUAUUUACAAGACUAGUUUAUUACCAUUCAGACAUGGAAUUGUAUUCUCUGAUGAUCAAUCACCUAAGGCAUUUGAAGAGAUAGAGAAAAUGAGACGAGUUCCCUAUGCAGAAGCUGUGGGAAGUCUCAUGUAUGCCAUGCUUUGCACUAGUCCAGACAUCUGUUUUGAGGUAAGGAUGGUUAGCAGAUAUCAAUCUAAUCCUGGACCUGAACACUAGACUGCAGUCAAGUAUAUUAGAAAGUAUCUAAAAAGAACUAAAAAUUAUAUGCUUAUGUAUUCUGGUGAUGAACUUAUUCCAGUAGGUUAUACUAAUUCUGACUUUAUGUUAGAUUAAGAUUCCAGAAAAUCAACUUCCAACAAUGUGUUUAUGUUAAGAAGUGGAGCUAUUAGUUGGAGGAGUGUAAAAAUCUUAUAUCGCAGACUCCACAACUGAAGCUGAAUAUGUGGCUACAUCUGAAGCUGCAAAAGAAGCUAUAUGGCUCCGCAAGUUCCUACAAAAUCUUGAGGUGGUACUUGUUGUAACUGCACCCUUUAAACUAUUUUGUCAUUAUGGUAGUGCGGUAGCUCAAUCUAAGAAACCAAUGAACAACAAGAAGCAAAACAUAUUGAGAGGAAGUAUUAUCUUAUAAGGGAAUAGUGUAAAAAUGUUAUAGGACAGUACCCCAAAUGACAUUAGAUAUUAUAUGGCACAUUUUAUUACAAUGGCCAUUAAUGGGAAACCUUUAUAACCUGCACUUAGAGCCCUAUAGCAUGUGCAAUAUGACAAAUAUGCUUUAAGAGCUAGUGGGGGAUUGUUGAGAUUAUAUGCUCUUUUAAAGUAUAUUAAUUUAUUUUCUGAUUAAUACAACAUUUGAGAUAUUUUCAAUUGCAUAAAUAUAUAUUGAAUAAGGUCCGUUUAAUCAUAUUAUAUGUAUUUAUGUGAUCAUCAUAUGGAUUCAUAGAAGACAUAAAUACAAGUUAUCUUAUGAUUAAAUAAAUAUUAGUUCGCAAUUGAUAAAUAGAGUUGGGCACUCUAUUUAUGUUUAGACUAUAGUAAAUUCAUUGAAUGAUUUGUCUUAAUCAUAUAUGAAUUUACUGAUGUAGUUUGACUACAUUGAGCUGGAUCACAUAUGAGAUUUAAUUAACCUUGAAAUGACUGUCAGACUUAUUAAAUCUCAUAGGCAUUGAUUUUACUGUAAUCUUAAUCUUGAGUUAGUUAUGAUUUCAUGAUUGUAAUUGUUAUUCCAUUUGAUUUAUCAAUGGGCACGACACACACUUGUGGUCAAGAUUACCCAGUAUCUUGGUGGGAGCAAUUAUGAGUAUUGGAGUUAUAGAUUAACAAUAUAGAAUUUAUACAACACGUCUUUUUAUGGGUUUUUGGCACUUGAUCGUAGAAUUCUUUGGCCAGAGUGUGUCAACAUAUUUAAUAUGUUGAAAAUGAUCAUUAGAGAAAACCAAUAAGUAUCCAGAAAUAAGAUGUAAUUAAAUCGAUUGGACAAUUGAGAUAUCAAUUUAAUUAAUGAUGUGGUACAAAUAAUUAUGUAGUAAAGAAAUCAAUGUGGCAUGAGUCGAAUUAUUAUUCGAGUAUACUAUCCUAGAUAGCAUACAAUUAUGGAGGUCAAUUCCAAUCUUUUAGUGGAGUAAAUUUAGAAUUAAAUAAUUGGACUAGUUUAAUUACAGGCCUAAUUAUUGUAGCCACUAUGUAUGUUCCCAAAUGAUUCUUAGGUUACCUCAUUUAAUUAACUGCACCACUACUGGAUUAAUAAGCAAGAUAACUAGCUAUUUAGGUUAAAAGCCUAAAUAUAUUAUUUAGUAGGAGACUCCAUUAAUAUACUUGAGUGUAAGGGGCCUUGUGUUAUUUUACAAGGUGGACCCCUAUAACACAAGAAUAAGUAACGUGACUUUUGUUUUAAUUAUUUUUUAAUUUAAAUCAAAUUAGAUUUAAUAGAAUU
Molecule: long non-coding RNA, 19763 nt
Filed under: Citrus x clementina
Lineage: Eukaryota; Viridiplantae; Streptophyta; Magnoliopsida; Sapindales; Rutaceae
Description: Citrus clementina (C. clementina) long non-coding RNA (CCLE_LNC004102)
Source: RNAcentral